UCCCUGGUGGUCUAGUGGCUAAUACUCUAUGCUCCCAAUGCAGAAUGCCCAGGUUCGAUCCCUGGUCAGGGAA
Transfer RNA from Ovis aries (sheep), 73 nucleotides. It matches the Rfam family "tRNA". Rfam says of the family: Transfer RNA (tRNA) molecules are approximately 80 nucleotides in length. NCBI's taxonomy places the organism in Eukaryota, Metazoa, Chordata, Mammalia, Artiodactyla, Bovidae. The record is from Rfam.